Molecule: ribosomal RNA, 686 nt
Filed under: uncultured Staphylococcus sp.
Lineage: Bacteria; Bacillati; Bacillota; Bacilli; Caryophanales; Staphylococcaceae
Description: bacterial SSU rRNA
Rfam family: Bacterial small subunit ribosomal RNA
Source: RNAcentral
ACAUGCAAGUCGAGCGAACAGAUAAGGAGCUUGCUCCUUCUGUAUAAAUAGCGGCGGACGGGUGAGUAACACGUGGGUAACCUACCUAUAAGACUGGAAUAACUCCGGGAAACCGGGGCUAAUGCCGGAUAACAUAUAGAACCGCAUGGUUCUAUAGUGAAAGAUGGUUUUGCUAUCACUUAUAGAUGGACCCGCGCCGUAUUAGCUAGUUGGUAAGGUAAUGGCUUACCAAGGCGACGAUACGUAGCCGACCUGAGAGGGUGAUCGGCCACACUGGAACUGAGACACGGUCCAGACUCCUACGGGAGGCAGCAGUAGGGAAUCUUCCGCAAUGGGCGAAAGCCUGACGGAGCAACGCCGCGUGAGUGAUGAAGGGUUUCGGCUCGUAAAACUCUGUUAUUAGGGAAGAACAUAUGUGUAAGUAACUGUGCACAUCUUGACGGUACCUAAUCAGAAAGCCACGGCUAACUACGUGCCAGCAGCCGCGGUAAUACGUAGGUGGCAAGCGUUAUCCGGAAUUAUUGGGCGUAAAGCGCGCGUAGGCGGUUUCUUAAGUCUGAUGUGAAAGCCCACGGCUCACCGUGGAGGAUCAUUGGAAACUGGGAAACUUGAGUGCAAGAAGAAGAAAGUGGAAUUCCAUGUGUAUCGGUGAAAUGCGCAGAGAUAUGGAUGAACACCAGUGGCGA